This 253-nucleotide ribosomal RNA is filed under the name uncultured bacterium. RNAcentral describes it as "partial 16S ribosomal RNA". It matches the Rfam family "Bacterial small subunit ribosomal RNA", at positions 524 to 776 of the family's 1533-position model. The record is from RNAcentral.
UCCGGAGGAUCCAAGCGUUAUCCGGAAUCAUUGGGUUUAAAGGGUCCGUAGGCGGUUUUGUAAGUCAGUGGUGAAAGCCCAUCGCUCAACGGUGGAACGGCCAUUGAUACUGCAAGACUUGAAUUAUUAGGAAGUAACUAGAAUAUGUAGUGUAGCGGUGAAAUGCUUAGAUAUUACAUGGAAUACCAAUUGCGAAGGCAGGUUACUACUAAUGGAUUGACGCUGAUGGACGAAAGCGUGGGGAGCGAACAGG